RNAcentral lists this ribosomal RNA (253 nucleotides) under uncultured bacterium. RNAcentral describes it as "partial 16S ribosomal RNA". It matches the Rfam family "Bacterial small subunit ribosomal RNA", at positions 524 to 776 of the family's 1533-position model. The record is from RNAcentral.
UACGUAGGGGGCAAGCGUUGUCCGGAUUUAUUGGGCGUAAAGCGCGUGUAGGCGGCCACGCAGGUCCGCUGUGAAAACUCGAGGCUCAACCUCGAGCUGUCGGUGGAAACCGCGUGGCUAGAGUCCGGAAGAGGGGACUGGAAUUCCCGGUGUAGCGGUGGAAUGCGCAGAUAUUGGGAAGAACACCGGUGGCGAAGGCGGCGCUCUGGACCGAGACUGACGCUGAGGCGCGAAAGCGUGGGGAGCAAACAGG